RNAcentral lists this ribosomal RNA (1215 nucleotides) under Riemerella anatipestifer. RNAcentral's name for it is "bacterial SSU rRNA". It matches the Rfam family "Bacterial small subunit ribosomal RNA", at positions 117 to 1340 of the family's 1533-position model. Lineage: Bacteria; Pseudomonadati; Bacteroidota; Flavobacteriia; Flavobacteriales; Weeksellaceae. The record is from RNAcentral.
GUGUGCAACCUGCCUUUAUCUGAGGGAUAGCCUUUCGAAAGGAAGAUUAAUACCUCAUAAUAUACUGAUUGGCAUCAAUUAGUAUUGAAAGCUCCGGCGGAUAGAGAUGGGCACGCGCAAGAUUAGAUAGUUGGUGAGGUAACGGCUCACCAAGUCAAUGAUCUUUAGGGGGCCUGAGAGGGUGAUCCCCCACACUGGUACUGAGACACGGACCAGACUCCUACGGGAGGCAGCAGUGAGGAAUAUUGGACAAUGGGUGCAAGCCUGAUCCAGCCAUCCCGCGUGAAGGACGACGGCCCUAUGGGUUGUAAACUUCUUUUGUACAGGGAUAAACCUACCCUCGUGAGGGUAGCUGAAGGUACUGUACGAAUAAGCACCGGCUAACUCCGUGCCAGCAGCCGCGGUAAUACGGAGGGUGCAAGCGUUAUCCGGAUUUAUUGGGUUUAAAGGGUCCGCAGGCGGGCUAGUAAGUCAGUGGUGAAAGCCUACAGCUUAACUGUAGAACUGCCGUUGAUACUGCUAGUCUUGAGUAUAGUUGAGGUAGCUGGAAUGAGUAGUGUAGCGGUGAAAUGCAUAGAUAUUACUCAGAACACCGAUUGCGAAGGCAGGUUACCAAGUUAUAACUGACGCUGAGGGACGAAAGCGUGGGGAGCGAACAGGAUUAGAUACCCUGGUAGUCCACGCCGUAAACGAUGCUAACUCGUUUUUGGGCUUUAGGGUUCAGAGACUAAGCGAAAGUGAUAAGUUAGCCACCUGGGGAGUACGACCGCAAGGUUGAAACUCAAAGGAAUUGACGGGGGCCCGCACAAGCGGUGGAUCAUGUGGUUUAAUUCGAUGAUACGCGAGGAACCUUACCAAGGCUUAAAUGGGAAUUGACAGCUGUAGAAAUACGGUUUUCUUCGGACAAUUUUCAAGGUGCUGCAUGGUUGUCGUCAGCUCGUGCCGUGAGGUGUUAGGUUAAGUCCUGCAACGAGCGCAACCCCUGUCACUAGUUGCCAUCAUUAAGUUGGGGACUCUAGUGAGACUGCCUACGCAAGUAGAGAGGAAGGUGGGGAUGACGUCAAAUCAUCACGGCCCUUACGCCUUGGGCCACACACGUGAUACAAUGGCCGGUACAGAGGGCAGCUACACUGCGAAGUGAUGCAAAUCUCGAAAGCCGGUCUCAGUUCGGAUUGGAGUCUGCAACUCGACUCUAUGAAGCUGGAAUCGCUAGUA